GAUGAACGCUAGCUACAGGCUUAACACAUGCAAGUCGAGGGACCGGCGCACGGGUGAGUAACACGUAUCCAACCUGCCCUUUACUCGGGGAUAGCCUUUCGAAAGAAAGAUUAAUACCCGAUGUAAAGGAUGGGGAUGCGUUCCAUUAGGUUGUUGGUGAGGUAACGGCUCACCAAGCCUUCGAUGGAUAGGGGUUCUGAGAGGAAGGUACCCCACAUUGGAACGGAAACACGGUCCAAAAUGCUACGGGAGGGAGCAGUGAGGAAGAGUGGGAAAUGGGCGGUAGCCUGAACCAGCCAAGUAGCGUGAAGGAUGAAGGCGGAGGGGGCGUAAACUUCUUUUAUAUAAGAAUAUGUAUUAUAUGAAUAAGGAUCGGCUAACUCCGUGCCAGCCGCCGCGGUAAUAC
Molecule: ribosomal RNA, 406 nt
Filed under: uncultured bacterium
Lineage: Bacteria
Description: partial 16S ribosomal RNA
Rfam family: Bacterial small subunit ribosomal RNA
Source: RNAcentral